CCAAAACUGAAGCCCCAAACCACUUCUGAGUGGCAGGUUUAAAAGCAGCUGAGCCAGGAACCCAUGCAGGAAACCAGAAGUUUCCCAAAAGCUGUAAGGAGGAUGCUCCAUUAUUCAUGUGGUGCCUGGAGCUGUGUUUGCCAUGGAAUUUCUGCAUGGCCCUGGGAAAACCAUGAGGAUCCUCCAUCUCGAUCACCCACAGAAACAAAAGGUCUGUCAACUCGUUUAACUGCUCAGAAAACACCAAACAAGAAAUAAAGCCCA
Molecule: long non-coding RNA, 264 nt
Filed under: Parus major (Great Tit)
Lineage: Eukaryota; Metazoa; Chordata; Aves; Passeriformes; Paridae
Description: lncRNA (ENSPMJG00000014162.1)
Source: RNAcentral